CGGAGUAUACCCCAAUCCAAACUUGUCUUCUUUGAUGAUUGGCUCCACAAAUUUGCCCCAGCCUUGGGCAUUACCAGCCUUAACCACUUCAACAACUUGCUUGUAUGAAGAGAUAGAAGUCCCGACCUUCUCAGACUCAGGUGAAAAGACAGUUUCGAGCACGACCUCACUGAUGUUUAUAGUUUCGAAGCCCUGACACAGCAUCUCAUGCAUCUCGCCAUCCAUCAACACAUACUUAAAUGUAGACAUGUGGCUAAC
Molecule: long non-coding RNA, 258 nt
Filed under: Lathyrus oleraceus (garden pea)
Lineage: Eukaryota; Viridiplantae; Streptophyta; Magnoliopsida; Fabales; Fabaceae
Description: Pisum sativum (pea) long non-coding RNA (PSAT_LNC014206)
Source: RNAcentral